Molecule: long non-coding RNA, 822 nt
Organism: Zootermopsis nevadensis
Lineage: Eukaryota; Metazoa; Arthropoda; Insecta; Blattodea; Termopsidae
Source: RefSeq, a predicted model, not a curated record
AUUUCAGGUACUCACAGCGAAAAGUAUGACGAUGAAUUAUAGGAAUUACGUCGUGAUGUCUGGUAGACAGACGUUUCGGAGGUGCUGUCUCCAUCCGGACAUUACCCUGAAACAUCGGCCAAUUUCUACCAGAGUACAAUGCGCAAUGUCCCAAAGACAGGAAAUUCAUGUUUGUAAAAUUAAUCAUUCAUGUAUGAAUAGAGGUGAUGGUGGUUAAGUUGGAUAAUAGCUAACGUUGUUAUCGACAAAGAAAUGGUUGUUACUAUGAAUUAAUACCAACUGCUACCGCCAGAUUGAUGUUGGGAAAGGAUGAUAUCAGGUUCUCACGGCUGCCUAAAAUAUGGUAGAAUAGUUCUUGGUUGGUGCUUCGUGUUGUGUUAGAAGCUUACCGGCGUUUGUUUUGGCCAGUUAUGUAUUAUAAUUUGGUUUUGUGCUGGCACUAACUAGCCUCUGCACUUGAUAUAACAGCAUUAAAUAACUUAUGAACCAUCAAACCAACCUACUUGUUACAAUUUAUGUGCUAGAUUUAUUCAAGUGAAUGAAUAAUAGGAGAAUUAUAACAUUUUAAAAGAAAAUUAGAGCUCUACUGAAAACUCAGACCAUAAAAUCUUUGGUGCUCAGAAAGAGGAUUAAUAUCAAACAAAAUUCCUACUGAUUAAGCCAAAAUCACUACAAUGGAGUGCAGCUGCCAAGUGAACUGACACAGAAAAUAACACCAGACACAUGGAAAGAAGAUUUUGAGGCCAGGUCAUUAAAUUGUCUAAUCUAUAAAUAAGAAGCAAAAUAUGUAUCUGUGAGACAAUAAACAAUAUCCAACAUGGC